Molecule: microRNA precursor, 86 nt
Filed under: Oryza brachyantha (malo sina)
Lineage: Eukaryota; Viridiplantae; Streptophyta; Magnoliopsida; Poales; Poaceae
Description: mir-395 microRNA precursor family
Rfam family: mir-395 microRNA precursor family
About the family: mir-395 was identified in both Arabidopsis thaliana and Oryza sativa computationally and was later experimentally verified. mir-395 is thought to target mRNAs coding for ATP sulphurylases. The mature sequence is excised from the 3' arm of the hairpin.
Source: Rfam by way of RNAcentral
GUAUUAUCAUGAGUUCCCUUCAAACACUUCACGUGACAUGUUUUUAAGGUUUACCGUGAAGUGUUUGGGGGAACUCUCGGUACCAC